CCACGUAUUUGAUCCCGGAGAGUCUGAUUCAGAUGACAACUGUACAGAUGUUACUGCGGCCGGCACACAGUGUGAGUGCUGGGCUGGGGGAGCCCUGGGAAGUGCGGCCUCCGUGGGGAGCACGCUCCAGCUCCAGCAGUCCUUCAGAGGCCCCGAGUUCGCCCACAGUUCUGUAGACGUGGACGGGCC
This 189-nucleotide long non-coding RNA is filed under the name Dasypus novemcinctus (nine-banded armadillo). Its description in RNAcentral is "lncRNA (ENSDNOG00000052200.1)". Lineage: Eukaryota; Metazoa; Chordata; Mammalia; Cingulata; Dasypodidae. The record is from RNAcentral.